GCGGAUAGCACCUGAAGAUCAUUGGUGCCCGUGGCAGACAGUUUUCAGUUACCAAUAAAAGUUUAAUGUAAUUAUUUUCAGUUAUCGCUGAACUCCACAGAGAGUGGUUGCAUGUUGCAUGAGCAGUGAUAAAAAGGAGAAUAGGUCUCCAAGAAAAUGUACGCUGUUUUUAGCACAUCUUACUAAACUGUUACUUUUCGGUGAAUUCUAGCUGACUUGAUCGUCGGAGUGUCAUCAACAGGUAGGGCGUCAUCUGUCCCAACAGAAUCAUACUAGAAAUAGUUAAGAGAGACGUUGAAAAAGCUGCAUUCAUCCUAGGUCAACUAUGGCAAGAACAAUUCUAAUAUUUAUUUUAGGGAUCAUAUUUUUUUUAAAUACUACAUUGUGUCACUAUAUCAAAUAACAUUGGUGUGUAGACAUUAGUGGGUGAUCAUUUAAAUCAAAAACAGUUAACAGUUAGGGUCAUAUAGUCCGCUUCACUCACUUCACUUUUACUUCCUUCUCCCUUUCCUUCUUCUAUAUAAACCCCACACCCUGCAACCUUCUCACUCACCAACUCAACCAACAACUCAAUCAAGUCCUCCCAAACCCUAAACCAAAUCCCAUUUCUUCAAUUCGCCAUCCCUUGAGUUGUUUCCAUGGCCACCCUCAACUCUGCGUGCGUCGUUGCCGUGCUGUGCUUGGUGGUGCUGACGGCACCCACUGCACAUGCCGCCAUCUCCUGCGGCCAGGUCACAAGUUCCCUGGCUUCAUGCAUCCCUUUCCUCACGAAAGGUGGGCCGGUGCCAGCGUCAUGCUGCUCCGGAGUGAGGUCCCUCAACGCCGCCGCAAAGACCACCCCAGACCGCCAGGCGGUCUGCAACUGCCUGAAAUCCGCCGCCGGUGCCAUCCCUGGAUUCAAUGCUAACAACGCAGGCAUACUCCCGGGCAAGUGUGGCGUCAGCAUCCCCUACAAGAUCAGUACCUCCACCAACUGCGCUACGUAAGAGAAAAACAAAAUUUAUCGUUCAAACUUUUUUAUAUAGUUUUCUAAAUUUUUAUUCUAUACAUAAAUUAAAAUUAGUUUAUAAAUAAAUUAUUAUAUUUUUUUAGUAUUUUUAUUUUUCAAACAUAAACCUGAUACACUUAGUUGAAUCUUAUCUAUUUUUUUAGUAAACUGAAAAAGAAUAAACUUAUUGUGAAGUAAAAAGUAGUUGAUAGAUAAAAGUACGUUGAUCUCAAAUAAUUUUCAAACAGAUUAAGAGAAAAUAAAUUUAGUUCUGGUUUUAAUUUUUAAGUAACUGUCACUAGAACAAUUAUUAAAUUAUUAUUGCAUAAAAAUUGUAAAAAUGUUUUGUAACAUUUUUUUUUUCAUUUUCAAUGAUUUAAAGGUUAUUUAAAGAUAAAAUGUAACAAAACUAAACAAAAUCAGACCAAAAUUAAAUUUCUAACCGGUUUUGAUAUGAAAGGGGAGUUUGAAAGAAAACUAUAAAAUAUGUGAUAUGAAAAGAAAUAGAAAAAUAUGGAAGAAGACAGAUGCAAUAAAUGAGAAAGUAGAUGUAUCAUUAUAUAGUUAUCCAUAAAAAGAAAUUCUAAAUUCAAUUAUAAAUUUUCUUUUAUAAAUUUGAAUCUGCGAUGGAAAUAAGUUGUGUUUGAAGUGAGAUUAAUUCAUCAUAAUAUACUACAUUAAUGUAAUAUAAAGUUAGAUAUUUUGAUUUGAGAUUCAUUAUUAUGAUUUAUUUCUUGAUUGCACUUGCAGUAUCAAGUUUUGAAGAAGAAGGCACUGGAAAC
This 1770-nucleotide long non-coding RNA is filed under the name Phaseolus vulgaris (common bean). Its description in RNAcentral is "long non-coding RNA (PVUL_LNC000640)". The record is from RNAcentral. Lineage: Eukaryota; Viridiplantae; Streptophyta; Magnoliopsida; Fabales; Fabaceae.